UCCUACGGGAGGCAGCAGUGGAGAAUAUUGCACAAUGGGCGAAAGCCUGACGCAGCGACGCCGCAUGAAGGAUGAAGGCCCUCUGGGUCGUAAACUUCUUUGGCAGGGGAAUAACAGGUCUCUAUACGAGGCACUGAAUGUACCCUGAGAACAAGCAUCGGCUAACUAUGUGCCAGCAGCCGCGGUAAUAC
RNAcentral lists this ribosomal RNA (191 nucleotides) under uncultured bacterium. RNAcentral's name for it is "partial 16S ribosomal RNA". It matches the Rfam family "Bacterial small subunit ribosomal RNA", at positions 337 to 526 of the family's 1533-position model. The record is from RNAcentral.